UCCAACGUUAAUCGGGGCAGGGUGAGUCGACCCCUAAGGCGAGGCCGAAAGGCGUAGUCGAUGGGAAACAGGUUAAUAUUCCUGUACUUGGUGUUACUGCGAAGGGGGGACGGAGAAGGCUAUGUUGGCCGGGCGACGGUUGUCCCGGUUUAAGCGUGUAGGCUGGUUUUCCAGGCAAAUCCGGAAAACUAAGGCUGAGGCGUGAUGACGAGGCACUACGGUGCUGAAGCAACAAAUGCCCUGCUUCCAGGAAAAGCCUCUAAGCAUCAGGUAACAUCAAAUCGUACCCCAAACCGACACAGGUGGUCAGGUAGAGAAUACCAAGGCGCUUGAGAGAACUCGGGUGAAGGAACUAGGCAAAAUGGUGCCGUAACUUCGGGAGAAGGCACGCUGAUAUGUAGGUGAAGUCCCUCGCGGAUGGAGCUGAAAUCAGUCGAAGAUACCAGCUGGCUGCAACUGUUUAUUAAAAACACAGCACUGUGCAAACACGAAAGUGGACGUAUACGGUGUGACGCCUGCCCGGUGCCGGAAGGUUAAUUGAUGGGGUCAGCGCAAGCGAAGCUCUUGAUCGAAGCCCCGGUAAACGGCGGCCGUAACUAUAACGGUCCUAAGGUAGCGAAAUUCCUUGUCGGGUAAGUUCCGACCUGCACGAAUGGCGUAAUGAUGGCCAGGCUGUCUCCACCCGAGACUCAGUGAAAUUGAACUCGCUGUGAAGAUGCAGUGUACCCGCGGCAAGACGGAAAGACCCCGUGAACCUUUACUAUAGCUUGACACUGAACAUUGAGCCUUGAUGUGUAGGAUAGGUGGGAGGCUUUGAAGUGUGGACGCCAGUCUGCAUGGAGCCGACCUUGAAAUACCACCCUUUAAUGUUUGAUGUUCUAACGUUGACCCGUAAUCCGGGUUGCGGACAGUGUCUGGUGGGUAGUUUGACUGGGGCGGUCUCCUCCUAAAGAGUAACGGAGGAGCACGAAGGUUGGCUAAUCCUGGUCGGACAUCAGGAGGUUAGUGCAAUGGCAUAAGCCAGCUUGACUGCGAGCGUGACGGCGCGAGCAGGUGCGAAAGCAGGUCAUAGUGAUCCGGUGGUUCUGAAUGGAAGGGCCAUCGCUCAACGGAUAAAAGGUACUCCGGGGAUAACAGGCUGAUACCGCCCAAGAGUUCAUAUCGACGGCGGUGUUUGGCACCUCGAUGUCGGCUCAUCACAUCCUGGGGCUGAAGUAGGUCCCAAGGGUAUGGCUGUUCGCCAUUUAAAGUGGUACGCGAGCUGGGUUUAGAACGUCGUGAGACAGUUCGGUCCCUAUCUGCCGUGGGCGCUGGAGAACUGAGGGGGGCUGCUCCUAGUACGAGAGGACCGGAGUGGACGCAUCACUGGUGUUCGGGUUGUCAUGCCAAUGGCACUGCCCGGUAGCUAAAUGCGGAAGAGAUAAGUGCUGAAAGCAUCUAAGCACGAAACUUGCCCCGAGAUGAGUUCUCCCUGACUCCUUGAGAGUCCUGAAGGAACGUUGAAG
This 1505-nucleotide ribosomal RNA is filed under the name Escherichia coli. RNAcentral describes it as "partial 23S ribosomal RNA". It matches the Rfam family "Bacterial large subunit ribosomal RNA", at positions 1358 to 2843 of the family's 2925-position model. Lineage: Bacteria; Pseudomonadati; Pseudomonadota; Gammaproteobacteria; Enterobacterales; Enterobacteriaceae. The record is from RNAcentral.